Molecule: non-coding RNA, 3496 nt
Organism: Monodelphis domestica (gray short-tailed opossum)
Lineage: Eukaryota; Metazoa; Chordata; Mammalia; Didelphimorphia; Didelphidae
Source: RefSeq, a predicted model, not a curated record
GGCCAUAGCAGGCUACAAGGACAGCCAGAUGAAGCACUACCAUAAUGCACCGCCCCGCGACCAGACUUCAGUGGGCAUUCUGGGAAAAAGAGUUUCAGUCCCGCCUCCAUUUCCCCGCCCACCCUCAGCCUCCUUCUAGCCCCGCAGUGCCUUUCCCCUCCGCUCUUCCCCUUCCUUCUUGGCAGGAGAACGAAGGCUUUGUCCUAUUCGAUUUAUCUCUAGCUUAGAUUCUCUGACUUUGAUUAAGAAGGUUAAGGAGGAAUGUAAUUGGCCAAAUCAAGAUCCUGUCCAGCCUCAGACCUCAGUUUCCUCCUCUGUAAAAAGGGCAGGUUCGGCUUCUUGACCACAAGCAUCCCUGAGCCUUCAGGCUGGUGCCCCACGUUCUUGCCUGAGAGUCUGAAUGGGAAGGAUGGAGUUACAGCCACCGAGACCCUUGGAUUGUUGCACCGGACCCGUGUACCGGCCCCUCUUCAGCCCUGCGGGUCCUCACCCGCUCUAACCCCUGUAGACCCGGCUCCUGCCUGGUCUCUCUGGCAGAGCGGCAGAGGCCCCCAACAUCACUAGCACGAGGGGGUCCCUCAGGCUCCCACGGAGAACGACCCUUCCCCGCCGGCUCCCUUGGGCCCAGGCAUCCGGCCUCACGCCUGUUCUCUGCUUUCACUAAAGAUGGUCACCACGGACGCUGGUCCUGAAGCCCCGAGGACCUACUGCUGCGACAGAGGAAGGGUCCGAGUCCAGAUUCGAGCCCAGGAACCCCCCCCCCCUUCCCCGCCCUAGGCCUGGCACUCCCUACUGAGCCUCCCAGCCUCCCCCUAAAGAUAAAUGUUAAAAAAAAGAAAUAAGAAAUGGCCCUUCCAAAGAGCAAAUCCUUUAUAGCUGAGGUCAGUACAAAAAGGGUGCCGUCAUUGGUCACGUGCCCUCAGAUAACGCCACAGAAAAGAUCCGCUGAAAAGUGAUCCGGAGGAAAUGACAUCCUGCUCCCAGGAGAACAAUCAGCACCAAAGGGCUUAAUAUCCGGGUAGAGAGGAUGGAGAGUGCAGACUGGGUGAAAGGAAAGUCGGGGAGCCCACGUGCCUGGUAACCUGGACAGAGCACGUCCCAGCUUGGGCUUGGAACUCAAGGCUUCGCCCCCCCCUCCCCCCCCUUAGCUUGCAAUGGACAAAGACUGCCCUGCCUGGGCUCCAGGUUGGCAAGGAUCCAUGGGAUUGGAGUGAAACUCUGCCCAUGAGGGCAUCCUGCAGUGGGAAGCUAAUGGCGUUCUGAAAUGACUGAUUCUGCCCAUUCGCGUCUGUAGAUUUUCUCACUGCAAAGCUCAGCCUUUCUGGGGAAGAAACUCAGAAGCAAAGAUCCACUGGUGAUGGUGCCUGUGAUGUACAGCAGAGAGUCCACACUGGAGGGAAACCCUAGGAAUGUAAUCUGUAUGGUAAAACAUUCACCCGGAGGCCCAGGCUUACUGUGCACCAGAGUAUCUCCAUGGGGAGAAAACUUGGGAAUGAUAUCGCUGAGGAAAAACUGUCUGAAGCAGGUCUCUCUCUCUGCCUCUCUGUCUCUGUCUCCCUCUCUCUGUCUCUGUCUCUGUCUCUGUCUCUGUGUCUCUGUCUCCCCCCUCUAUCUGUCUCCCUCUCUCUGUCUCUCUUUGUCUCUGUGUCUCUCUGGGUCUCCCCCUCUAUCUGUCUCCCUCUUUGUGUCUCUCUGUCUCUGCUUCCCUCUCUCUUGUCUUCCCCUCUCUCUGUCUGUCUCUCUUUUUAAACCCUUACCUUCUAUCUGAGAAUCACUACUGAGGGGGCAGCUAGGUGGCUCAGGCAUUAUAAAGCCACGCCUGAACAGGAGAGGUCCUCAGAUCCAAUCUGACCUCAGACACUUCCUAACUGGGUGACCCUGAGCAAAUCACUAAACCCUUGUUGCCUAGUCCUCACUGCUCUUCUGCCUUGGAACGAGUAAUCAGUACUUUAGUGCUUAUCCUUUUUUUUUUUUACAUAAAUACUUACUAUAGAAGCAAUACAAAGUAUUAGAUCUAAGGCAGAAGAGUAGUAAGGGCUAGGCAAUUAGGGCUAAGGGAUUCGCUCAGAGUCACACUUACAUCCCUCCUUAACCUUCUCCUUCUUUUUUAAACACUUACCUUCUGUCUUGGAGUCAAUACUGUGUGUUGGCUAUGGGCUGGUAUGGGCUAGGCAAUGGGGGUCAAGCGAAUUGUCCAGGGUCACACAGCUGGGAAGUGUCUGAGGCAACAUUUGAACCUAGGACCUCCUGUCUUUAGGCUUGGCUCUCAAUCCACUGAGCUACCCAUCUGCCCCCACCUCCUUAACCUGCUUAAUGUCAGAGAAUCCAAGCUGGAGCUAAACUUUUCGAAUGUUAUCAGUAUGGAAAAUCUGUCAGCUAUCAGAAGAAUAGUGGUAUCCAUCUGAGCAUCCAAGCUAGAGAGAAUCCUUUUGAAUGUAAUCAUUGUGAAAAGGCUGGACAUAGGUACAGUCUUUCUGUACUUCAUCAGAGAAUCUACACUAUAGAAAAAUUUCAUGACUGAAAUCAAUGUUAGAAGUCCUUUACAAAGAAGGUUGGUUUUACUAUAUAUUACCAUGAUGGUAAACCUAUGACACAUUGUAGGAUUUGAGAAAAUCCCCCAAGAAUGGAGACACGGAGACAAUGCAAGAGGAAGAAACCAACAAGAAAGUUCAACGGCUGAGAUGGCGAUGCAGCAAGGCACUGUGGAGUGCUUAGGGCGUGAUGGAGCACAAAAGACAACACGGCCAUCCAAUGCAGCUGAGGAAGUCUCCAGGUGUAACGACUUUUCGUGCCACUGGACCCAGGCUUCCAACGCCGAGAGAGUGGGACUGUCUCUGUGCAUCCACUCAUCCACUUAAAUCUUCAUGCACAGGUGUCUUUGUGCACAAAAACGCACAAAGACAAUUGUCAUCCUCAGUUUGAGAGACAACCAACAACAACAAUAAUCCUAUGGUGCCACUGCCAAAAGAAGGAACUUAACCACAGCUAAACCACUAAGAGAAGACUACACUGAACCUUUUAUUUGUGGGAAGUAUUCCUUUUGGCACAAGAUGGCCCUGUAAUACAGAAAAACUCUUUCAGAAAAUGCUAUAUUUUGUUUAAUAUUUCCAAGCAGAUAAUUACUAACUGCUAAGCAGUAUUUUCUGAUUCUUUUAAUUCUGUAAUACUAGUUGCAUAUGGAGUAUUCUAAAAGAUAGUUGGAGCUUGCCUUUAAGUGUUCUUAACCUAAAUUGGAACUUCUGUAAAGAUUUCCUACACUCUAAAGGUUUCCAAUACAAAAACUAGUAUGUAUAUACAUAAGCCACAGAAACAUACGUUUACCAAACUAUUUAAAAAUGAAUAUUUUUUCUAUUUAAAAUAUUGUUUAGCUUGAGACUUUGUUAGUACAUUUGUAAAAGCAACUCAGAUCCAUUAAGGUUUAUAAUUAUUUUUUGUAACAGGGGAUUGUUUGUACAACUGAAAUGGCACUUACAGUAAAUGUUAAUACUUGAUAAAA